RNAcentral lists this ribosomal RNA (301 nucleotides) under uncultured bacterium. RNAcentral's name for it is "partial 16S ribosomal RNA". It matches the Rfam family "Bacterial small subunit ribosomal RNA", at positions 509 to 807 of the family's 1533-position model. The record is from RNAcentral.
CAGCCGCCGCGGGAAUACGGAGGAUCCAAGCGUUAUCCGGAAUCAUUGGGUUUAAAGGGUCCGUAGGCGGUCUUGUAAGUCAGUGGUGAAAGCCCAUCGCUCAACGGUGGAACGGCCAUUGAUACUGCAGGACUUGAAUUAUUGGGAAGUAACUAGAAUAUGUAGUGUAGCGGUGAAAUGCUUAGAGAUUACAUGGAAUACCAAUUGCGAAGGCAGGUUACUACCAAUUGAUUGACGCUGAUGGACGAAAGCGUGGGGAGCAAACAGGAUUAGAUACCCCUGUAGUCCCUGUCUCUUAUAC